CCAAAUGGGCUAAGAACUCGGAAACAUUGCGUUGAACCACGAAAUAACCUUUCUAGUGUUGUUUGGGGUUAUAAUAUGUUAUAAUACAAUACAUUUGAUAGAUUACAAGUGCUAGAGAUGCAUGAAGAGUGUUUUGAAGUGUGGAGAAAGACUUGUUGAAAUUGGGGCCAAAAUGGGCUAAGAACUCGGAAACAUUGCGUUGAACCACGAAAUGACUUAUCUAGUGUUGUUUCGGGUUAUAAUAUGUUAGGAUACAGUAAAUUAAAUUGAUUACAAGUGCUAGAGAUGCAUGAAGGGUGUUUAGAU
Molecule: long non-coding RNA, 306 nt
Filed under: Capsella rubella
Lineage: Eukaryota; Viridiplantae; Streptophyta; Magnoliopsida; Brassicales; Brassicaceae
Description: long non-coding RNA (CRUB_LNC000249)
Source: RNAcentral